AUGGGCGCAAGCCUGAUCCCAGCCAUACCGCGUGUGUGAAGAAGGCUUUCGGGUUGUAAAGCACUUUAAGUAAGGAGAAAAAGUUUGUAGUUAAUAGCUGCAAUCCUUGAUGUUACUUACAGAAUAAGGACCGGCUAAUUCCGUGCCAGCAGCCGCGGUAAUACGGAAGGUCCAAGCGUUAAUCGGAAUUACUGGGCGUAAAGCGCGCGUAGGUGGUUUUUUAAGUUGGAUGUGAAAGCCCUGGGCUCAACCUAGGAACUGCAUCCAAAACUAGAUGACUAGAGUACGAAAGAGGGAAGUAGAAUUCACAGUGUAGCGGUGGAAUGCGUAGAUAUUGUGAAGAAUACCAAUGGCGAAGGCAGCUUCCUGGUUCUGUACUGACACUAAGGUGCGAAAGCGUGGGUAGCGAACAGGAUUAGAUACCCUGGUAGUCCACGCCGUAAACGAUGACAACUAGCUGUUGGGAGACUAGAUCUCUCAGUGGCGCAGCUAACGCUUUAAGUUGUCCGCCUGGGGAGUACGGCCGCAAGGCUAAAACUCAAAUGAAUUGACGGGGACCCGCACAAGCGGUGGAGCAUGUGGUUUAAUUCGAUGCAACGCGAAAAACCUUACCUACUCUUGACAUACUUGGAAGCUCUUGUAAUGAGAGUGUGCUUUUAGAGCCAAGAUACAGGUGCUGCAUGGCUGUCGUCAGCUCGUGUCGUGAGAUGUUGGGUUAAGUCCCAUAACGAGCGCAACCCUUACCCUUAUUUGCCAGCGGUUCGGCCGGGAACUAUAAGGGGACUGCCGGUGACAAACCGGAGGAAGGUGAGGACGACGUCAAGUCAUCAUGGCCCUUACGAGUAGGGCUACACACGUGCUACAAUGGGG
Molecule: ribosomal RNA, 870 nt
Filed under: uncultured Gammaproteobacteria bacterium
Lineage: Bacteria; Pseudomonadati; Pseudomonadota; Gammaproteobacteria
Description: bacterial SSU rRNA
Rfam family: Bacterial small subunit ribosomal RNA
Source: RNAcentral